This 778-nucleotide ribosomal RNA is filed under the name Lactiplantibacillus plantarum. RNAcentral describes it as "bacterial SSU rRNA". It matches the Rfam family "Bacterial small subunit ribosomal RNA", at positions 71 to 824 of the family's 1533-position model. Lineage: Bacteria; Bacillati; Bacillota; Bacilli; Lactobacillales; Lactobacillaceae. The record is from RNAcentral.
GAUUGGUGCUUGCAUCAUGAUUUACAUUUGAGUGAGUGGCGAACUGGUGAGUAACACGUGGGAAACCUGCCCAGAAGCGGGGGAUAACACCUGGAAACAGAUGCUAAUACCGCAUAACAACUUGGACCGCAUGGUCCGAGUUUGAAAGAUGGCUUCGGCUAUCACUUUUGGAUGGUCCCGCGGCGUAUUAGCUAGAUGGUGGGGUAACGGCUCACCAUGGCAAUGAUACGUAGCCGACCUGAGAGGGUAAUCGGCCACAUUGGGACUGAGACACGGCCCAAACUCCUACGGGAGGCAGCAGUAGGGAAUCUUCCACAAUGGACGAAAGUCUGAUGGAGCAACGCCGCGUGAGUGAAGAAGGGUUUCGGCUCGUAAAACUCUGUUGUUAAAGAAGAACAUAUCUGAGAGUAACUGUUCAGGUAUUGACGGUAUUUAACCAGAAAGCCACGGCUAACUACGUGCCAGCAGCCGCGGUAAUACGUAGGUGGCAAGCGUUGUCCGGAUUUAUUGGGCGUAAAGCGAGCGCAGGCGGUUUUUUAAGUCUGAUGUGAAAGCCUUCGGCUCAACCGAAGAAGUGCAUCGGAAACUGGGAAACUUGAGUGCAGAAGAGGACAGUGGAACUCCAUGUGUAGCGGUGAAAUGCGUAGAUAUAUGGAAGAACACCAGUGGCGAAGGCGGCUGUCUGGUCUGUAACUGACGCUGAGGCUCGAAAGUAUGGGUAGCAAACAGGAUUAGAUACCCUGGUAGUCCAUACCGUAAACGAUGAAUGCUAAGUGUU